CUUUAUAAGGUGGAAGCCCAAACACAGAUUCCUGCCUGCUCAUUGAGGUUGCUGCAUCUGGGACACUCUGUGAGGCUCUGCACCGCAGCUUGUUUGGCAGUCCAUCGGCUGGAUCCAGCCUUCCUUGGAGACGAUGGACUGAACCGUUAAACCAUUGUCAGUGAUUGGGCAGUGCCCCGCCUUCCUCCUGCAGCCACUGCGGUCCACACAUCUACAGCUCUGCAUCUGUUAUGCUUUGUUUUGUGUUAAUUAACGCUUUUAACUGUCCCACUGUCUGUCUCACCUUGAAUACUGGGUCCAUCUGUUCCUGUCAUGACACAGAGAUCUUAUAAUGUCAGAGUUCAUUGGCAUAGAACUUAUUGUCAAGUAUUGGAUAGCAUAUGUAUUGGGUUUGAGCAGUGCAGCAUAAUGCAUUCGGCAAAUUAUCUCCUCAUUACCAGCCUCAUCUAUUGGAAGAAGGCUAGAUAGAUCCCUGUUUUCCUGUGGUUUAUGCAAUAUUUAGAUUGUACUAUCCAAAUGUCAUCACUGAAAUCAAGUCUUAUUGGGCCAAGCAAUUGUUCCAGUCUGUUACUGUCCAAUUAUCACAAGUCUUUGUAAAUUGUUGCCUCAGAUUCCCCCUCUUGGCUGAAAGCAGUGGCAACAAGAAUGGAUUUAUCUUGCUGUAGCCCAUCUGCUUCAAAAUUUGACAAGCUGUUCAUUUAGUUAAAUGUUUUUUUGAGCUUACAUUGCCUUUUUAGAGUAUUUCAUAACAAAUCUGUAUAUUCUCCAGUGGCAAAUACAAGGAUUUUUCAUCAACACUAAUGUUGAUCAGUGGCUUUUUCUUUCUCAUACAAUUCUCUGUAUACCCAAAACAACAGAAUAAAUAGUUGAGAAUUAUGGGGUUGCAACUGACCCCAAUGCAGACACAAGGAAGAAUUAUGGCGCUUUAAAUAUUAAUAAUCUCAGA
Molecule: long non-coding RNA, 946 nt
Organism: Cyprinodon tularosa
Lineage: Eukaryota; Metazoa; Chordata; Actinopteri; Cyprinodontiformes; Cyprinodontidae
Exons: 3
Source: RefSeq, a predicted model, not a curated record